RNAcentral lists this ribosomal RNA (255 nucleotides) under uncultured bacterium. Its description in RNAcentral is "partial 16S ribosomal RNA". It matches the Rfam family "Bacterial small subunit ribosomal RNA", at positions 524 to 776 of the family's 1533-position model. The record is from RNAcentral.
UACGAACUGUGCGAACGUUAUUCGGAAUCACUGGGCUUACAGGGUGCGUAGGCGGCUUUUCAGGUCAGGUGUGAAAGCCCCCGGCUCAACCGGGGAACUGCGCUUGAAACCGAAAGGCUCGAGUCAGCUAGAGGUACACGGAACUUCCAGUGGAGCGGUGAAAUGUGUUGAUAUUGGAAGGAACACCGGAGGCGAAAGCGGUGGUACUGGGGGCUGGUCUGACGCUGAGGCACGAAAGCCAGGGGAGCGAACGGG